RNAcentral lists this ribosomal RNA (466 nucleotides) under uncultured Chloroflexota bacterium. Its description in RNAcentral is "bacterial SSU rRNA". It matches the Rfam family "Bacterial small subunit ribosomal RNA", at positions 348 to 831 of the family's 1533-position model. Lineage: Bacteria; Bacillati; Chloroflexota. The record is from RNAcentral.
CCAGCACCAAGAAUAUUGUGCAAUGGGCGAAAGCCUGACACAGCGACACCGCGUGGGGGAUGAAGGCUUCGGGUUGUAAACCCCUUUUCCCAGGGAAGAAAAAUGACGGUACCUGGGGAAUAAGUCUUGGCUAACUACGUGCCAGCAGCCGCGGUAAUACGUAGAAGGCAAGCGUUAUCCGGAUUUAUUGGGCGUAAAGAGGGUGUAGGCGGUUCUUCAAGUCGGAUGUAAAAUCUCCCGGCUUAACCGGGAGGGAUCAUUCGAUACUGUUGGGCUAGAGUGCAGCAGGGGGAGACGGAAUUCCCGGUGGUAGUGGUGAAAUGCGUAGAUAUCGGGAGGAACACCAGUGGCGAAGGCGGUCUCCUGGGCUGUUACUGACGCUGAGACCCGAAGGCGUGGGGAGCGAACAGGAUUAGAUACCCUGGUAGUCCACGCAGUAAACGAUGGACACUAGGUAUAGGGAGUA